Non-coding RNA from Caenorhabditis elegans, 21 nucleotides. The record is from Ensembl. Lineage: Eukaryota; Metazoa; Nematoda; Chromadorea; Rhabditida; Rhabditidae.
GUAUAUGUCAUAAAAACGAAC